UACAGAGGUCCCAAGCGUUGUUCGGAUUCACUGGGCGUAAAGGGUGCGUAGGUGGUGAGGUAAGUCGGAUGUGAAAGCUCCGAGCUCAACUCGGAAAUGGCAUUGGAAACUACCUUGCUCGAGGGUUUGAGGGGGGACUGGAAUACUUGGUGUAGCAGUGAAAUGCGUAGAUAUCAAGUAGAACACCAGUGGCGAAGGCGAGUCCCUGGAAAACUCCUGACACUGAGGCACGAAAGCGUGGGGAGCAAACAGG
RNAcentral lists this ribosomal RNA (253 nucleotides) under uncultured bacterium. Its description in RNAcentral is "partial 16S ribosomal RNA". It matches the Rfam family "Bacterial small subunit ribosomal RNA", at positions 524 to 776 of the family's 1533-position model. The record is from RNAcentral.